This 508-nucleotide ribosomal RNA is filed under the name uncultured glomeraceous AM fungus. Its description in RNAcentral is "SSU rRNA". It matches the Rfam family "Eukaryotic small subunit ribosomal RNA", at positions 569 to 1078 of the family's 1831-position model. Lineage: Eukaryota; Fungi; Glomeromycota; Glomeromycetes; Glomerales; Glomeraceae. The record is from RNAcentral.
AGCAGCCGCGGUAAUUCCAGCUCCAAUAGCGUAUAUUAAAGUUGUUGCCGUUAAAAAGCUCGUAGUUGAAUUUCGGGGUUAGUAGAUUGGUCAUGCCUCUGGUAUGUACUGGUCUCACUGAUUCCUCCUUCCUGAUGAUCCGUAAUGCCAUUAAUUUGGUGUUGCGGGGAAUUUGGACUGUUACUUUGAAAAAAUUAGAGUGUUUAAAGCAAGCUAACGCUUGAAUACAUUAGCAUGGAAUAAUGAAAUAGGACGUUCGAUCCUAUUUUGUUGGUUUCUGGGAUUGACGUAAUGAUUAAUAGGGAUAGUUGGGGGCAUUAGUAUUCAAUUGUCAGAGGUGAAAUUCUUGGAUUUAUUGAAGACUAACUACUGCGAAGGCAUUUGCCAAGGAUGUUUUCAUUAAUCAAGAACGAAAGUUAGGGGAUCGAAGACGAUCAGAUACCGUCGUAGUCUUAACCAUAAACUAUGCCGACUAGGGAUCGGAUGAUGUUAAUUUUUUAAUGACUCA